AGUGCAUGUGGUGGAUGCCUUGGCAGUCAGAGGCGAUGAAAGACGUGAUAGCCUGCGAAAAGCUCCGGGGAGGCGGCAAAUAUCCUUUGAUCCGGAGAUGUCUGAAUGGGGGAACCCACCUACUUUAAGGUAGGUAUUGCAACAUGAAUACAUAGUGUUGCAAGGCGAACGAGGGGAAGUGAAACAUCUCAGUACCCUUAGGAAAAGAAAUCAAUUGAGAUUCCCUCAGUAGCGGCGAGCGAACGGGGAUCAGCCCAUUAAGUUAUGUGUGUUUUAGUGGAACGCUCUGGGAAGUGCGAACGUAGAGGGUGAUAUUCCCGUACACGAAAGGGCACACAUAAUGAUGACGAGUAGGGCGAGGCACGUGAAACCUUGUCUGAAUAUGGGGGGACCAUCCUCCAAGGCUAAAUACUCCUGACUGACCGAUAGUGAACCAGUACCGUGAGGGAAAGGCGAAAAGAACCCCUGUGAGGGGAGUGAAAUAGAUCCUGAAACCGCAUGCAUACAAGCAGUGGGAGCACCUUCGUGGUGUGACUGCGUACCUUUUGUAUAAUGGGUCAGCGACUUAUAUUCAGUAGCGAGGUUAACCGUAUAGGGGAGCCGUAGAGAAAUCGAGUCUUAAUAGGGCGUUUAGUUGCUGGGUAUAGACCCGAAACCAGGCGAUCUAUCCAUGAGCAGGUUGAAGGUUGGGUAACACUAACUGGAGGACCGAACCCACUGUCGUUGAAAAGCCAGGGGAUGACUUGUGGAUAGGGGUGAAAGGCUAAUCAAGCCUGGUGAUAGCUGGUUCUCCCCGAAAGCUAUUUAGGUAGCGCCUCGGACGAAUACCAUAGGGGGUAGAGCACUGUUUCGGCUAGGGGGUCAUCCCGACUUACCAAACCGAUGCAAACUCCGAAUACCUAUGAGUACUAUCCGGGAGACAGACUGCGGGUGCUAACGUCCGUAGUCAAGAGGAAAACAAUCCAGACCGCCAGCUAAGGCCCCAAAAUCAUAGUUAAGUGGGAAACGAUGUGGGAAGGCAUAGACAGCUAGGAGGUUGGCUUAGAAGCAGCCACCCUUUAAAGAAAGCGUAAUAGCUCACUAGUCGAGUCGGCCUGCGCGGAAGAUGUAACGGGGCUAAAACUAUGUGCCGAAGCUGCGGAUGUAUACUUUGUAUACGUGGUAGGGGAGCGUUCUGUAAGCCGAUGAAGGUGUGUUGAGAAGCAUGCUGGAGGUAUCAGAAGUGCGAAUGCUGACGUGAGUAACGACAAAACGGGUGAAAAACCCGUUCGCCGAAAGACCAAGGGUUCCAGUCCAACGUUAAUCGGGGCUGGGUGAGUCGACCCCUAAGGCGAGGCCGAAAGGCGUAGUCGAUGGGAAAAUGGUUAAUAUUCCAUUACUUCUGUGUAAUGCGAUGAGAGGACGGAGAAGGCUAAAUCAGCCUGGCGUUGGUUGUCCAGGUGAAAGGAUGUAGGCAUGUAUCUUAGGCAAAUCCGGGGUACUCUAUGCUGAGAUCUGAUAGCAAGCUGUACUUGUACAGCGAAGUGGUUGAUGCCAUGCUUCCAGGAAAAGUCUCUAAGCUUCAGUUACACAGGAAUCGUACCCGAAACCGACACAGGUGGUCAGGUCGAGUAGACCAAGGCGCUUGAGAGAACUCUGCUGAAGGAACUAGGCAAAAUGGUACCGUAACUUCGGGAGAAGGUACGCUGUUGUUGGUGAUGGAACUCGCUUCCUGAGCUGACGACAGCCGCAGAAACCAGGCCGCUGCAACUGUUUAUUAAAAACAUAGCACUCUGCAAACACGAAAGUGGACGUAUAGGGUGUGAUGCCUGCCCGGUGCUGGAAGGUUAAUUGAUGGGGUUAGCGUAAGCGAAGCUCUUGAUCGAAGCCCCAGUAAACGGCGGCCGUAACUAUAACGGUCCUAAGGUAGCGAAAUUCCUUGUCGGGUAAGUUCCGACCUGCACGAAUGGCAUAAUGAUGGCGGCGCUGUCUCCAGCAGAGGCUCAGUGAAAUCGAAAUCGCUGUGAAGAUGCAGUGUACCCGCGGCUAGACGGAAAGACCCCGUGAACCUUUACUGCAGCUUGACACUGAACUUUGACCUUACUUGUGUAGGAUAGGUGGGAGGCUUUGAAGCUGGAACGCUAGUUCCAGUGGAGCCGUCCUUGAAAUACCACCCUGGUAAUGUUGAGGUUCUAACUCUGUCCCGUGAUCCGGGACGAGGACCGUGUCUGGUGGGUAGUUUGACUGGGGCGGUCUCCUCCUAAAGAGUAACGGAGGAGUACGAAGGUGCGCUCAGCGUGGUCGGAAAUCACGCGUAGAGUAUAAAGGCAAAAGCGCGCUUAACUGCGAGACCCACAAGUCGAGCAGGUACGAAAGUAGGUCUUAGUGAUCCGGUGGUUCUGUAUGGAAGGGCCAUCGCUCAACGGAUAAAAGGUACUCUGGGGAUAACAGGCUGAUACCGCCCAAGAGUUCAUAUCGACGGCGGUGUUUGGCACCUCGAUGUCGGCUCAUCUCAUCCUGGGGCUGAAGCAGGUCCCAAGGGUAUGGCUGUUCGCCAUUUAAAGAGGUACGCGAGCUGGGUUUAGAACGUCGUGAGACAGUUCGGUCCCUAUCUACCGUGGGCGCUGGAAAUUUGAGAGGAUCUGCUCCUAGUACGAGAGGACCAGAGUGGACGAACCUCUGGUGUACCGGUUGUGACGCCAGUCGCAUCGCCGGGUAGCUAUGUUCGGAAGGGAUAACCGCUGAAAGCAUCUAAGCGGGAAGCCUACCUCAAGAUAAGAUUUCCCUAGGACUUUAU
This 2776-nucleotide ribosomal RNA is filed under the name Acinetobacter baumannii 1121032. RNAcentral's name for it is "bacterial LSU rRNA". It matches the Rfam family "Bacterial large subunit ribosomal RNA". Lineage: Bacteria; Pseudomonadati; Pseudomonadota; Gammaproteobacteria; Moraxellales; Moraxellaceae. The record is from RNAcentral. RNAcentral also lists the same sequence under 1 other name.